UGCAAGACAAAAAACUACCAGUGAAGGAAGAGACUGCGAGGAAAGUGAAACUCAGACCGGAGAAGACAAGCAAUGGCGGAGGAACCAAGGCUGUAGAUCUUUGAUAAAAGGAGAAGCAAGAAAUUACAAUUGAAAAGGCCAUGCAUGAUAAGCGGAAAUGUAUCACUGCUGUGAAAGGGCUACAACUUUUUGGUGAGCUAUCUGUUGUAUUAUAUCCUUUGUCUUUCUAUUUGGAGACUCUUAUUUAAAUCCUACCAUAAUAGGUAACUACAAUUUACUUUUGGAUUUGAUUCUUCACUGAUGGGAUGUUGUGGGGCGUGAUUUGGGGGAGAUAUGGGUGGGGGUUGGGUGCAGAGAGAAGGUGAGGGCAGAUGCACGAUUAGGGGGACAGAAAGAGAGUUGCUUGGGUCCACCAUGAAGUUCGAAAGCCCAAUCCGAGAUGCAAUUUCCAUAAUCCGAUUCGCCUAAAAUCCGACAACGUCCUCAUCUCCUCUCACGACCUAUCUUAAGAUUGUACGACCCAGAAGUGACCGGCAGAAAAUGGAUCCAUGGAUGGAUGAAACACUGAAGAAGACUCAUGUCAGCCGCCAAGCUACCCGAAAACUUUGAAAUCAUGGGUGAGUUUUUCAAUGACUUGCACACCUCGAUUCGGUUGUUGCGGUUGAGGGGAUUGAAGCCCAGUUUCAGCGACAUUUACUCCCAAAUCGAGUGUUUAACGGAUAGAUCCUCUUCUUGAUGUUGCCUGUUCCUCAGUUUGAAUUGAUUGAAUGGCGAAUGACUGAAAAAUAUUGUCCCAUCACCGCAAAACAUGAGAUGUCCAUUGUGAACAUAAUCCAUGGAGAAAGCUUGGGAAGUUGCACAGGUCCCAUUCAAGAAUUUGGCGAUGAUGGUUUCAUGAUAUGGAUGGUUGGGAGUAUAGUGCAUUUGUUUAGCAUUGGAAUUACAUUUUCCGCUUUUUGGCAACCCAUAAGCACCUUACAUGGUGUAGGGAAGGGUAAAUGAUUCUUAUUCUGUUAAUCAGUCUGUAUGUGUUUCAUUCUCCACUUCAUCUCCUUUGUUUGGUAGUGUUAUAUAUUGUAUUCAUGCAGUAUAGACUAAUGCUUAAAUUAGAUAUUGCUAAAAAAAGGGUCUUUAUCUUCUAAAUCCUUAGCUUGCUCUACCUUGAAUACGUUUCGAAUUCUUUUAUAUAAGAUUAUCCCUUGUGAAGAAGUGAAAUAAAUAGGGUGAUUCUUAUAUUUCUUAAGAUUUGGUUCCCAAAAUGAUUGUGAUGAUGAUGAAAAAUGUAUUAUGUGAUUUGAAGAAAAAUGGUCAAACACAGUAGAAGUAACUCAAACUGUGUCACUCAGAGGAAGGGAGGGAGGGAGGGAGAGAGAGAUGGAUUUGGUGAGAGGAAGGCAUGCGGCUUGCAGGCAGACAGAGUCACAGGGGUGUAUGAUUCAAGGGAGAGAGAGAGGGGAUUGAGUGGUGAUGCUCGAUUUGGGGUUAGGCGACGACAGGAGGGAGGGCAAGGGUUGUUGCAUCCGGGUCAUUCAGAUGGUUGCGAGAGAGUGCUGUGUUCUAGGGUUUGAGAGUUGGUUUCGAGAAAGUGAGGGGGCCAGAGUGGGGGUAAGGCUUGAGCUGGGUUUGUGGAAUGGGGCUGGAUUAGUUACAGACGGAGAAGGGGAUGAGGGUGUGGAAUGUCAGGGAGACUAAUGGAGAGGGAGGUCUGCCAAAAAUUGGGAUUAAUGUUGAGGGGAUUGUAGGGCAGACAGGAGGUUAUGCCGCAUCUGAGAUAGAGAUGGAGAGAGACAGAGAGAGAGACGGAGACAGAGCGAGAGAUGGAGGGAUUUCAGGGAUUUGCAAAUUCUUCCCCUUGCUGCCUGUUCUGUUCUGAUUUGAAGAUUUCUCAAGUGGCUAUAAUUUCAUAGUAGGUUGGUUUAAAGCAGUUCCAAAAUAUGGGAUCGUUUGGGAUAUAUUCCCCUCUCUCUACAUCUCAGAUCUCUGCAGUUUCACAAAUUAGGGUCUAUGUGUGCAGCAAGCAAAAUCCUUUCAUUCAUAUGAGCUUCUUGGGCCUCUUUACCUUCACAACAGCUUACUUACCUGGCUUUUCUUUUGGCUCCAGAAUACCAUAUGGAGAUAUCAUAUUUCUCUUCUCUCUCUCUCUCUGUCUUUCUCUCUUUAUGAGCGCUGUCUUUCUUUCUUUAGUUGCGCACCAUCAGGGACCGUAGUUACAUCUUAUCUUUUUGCUAUAUUUCUUUUACCUUUGAGUAUUAUGAGGAUGGGAUUUUAGACUCAUCAACGACAAAAAAAAAUUGCUUUCAUUUUAUAGGAGUGAAAGAUUUGAUUUUUCAUGCACUUAUCUUUUAAUUUUAUUUGUUUAUUUAGUUUUCCCAAUAUUUUGGGUGAAAUUCUACCCCAUGCAUUUGGGUUUUAGUCUUUUCUAGGCCAGUUGCUAGAAAAAAAAGGCGUUUGAGAGAGAGAGAGAAGACAGCUUGAAAAAUUUAGUAUCUUGAAGUGAUAAAGCAAAGAGAUUUCCAAAGCUAAUCAAAUUGUUAUCGUCAGCUUGCUCUCUUUGGAUUAAUUGAUGUUAUAAUGCAUUUUGAAGCUUAAAUUAUAGAUUCCUUUUCUGUAGCAAACCUUGAUUUAUCAGUGUAUAGAAAAAAAUAUCAAUUCAUUUCAGUUUAAAUAUUUCUGAAAAGUUAGAGAUGGUUUUAUUAGUUUCAAAUUAUAUACUACUGAAAAGUUUAACAUCUGCUGAGCACGUUGAGCGUUUGUAAAUUAGCCAAAUUAUAGGGUCAUGUGCAGGUGAUCUGUUUAAAACUUUUUUUUUUCAUGAGUUUUUAUUAAGCUUUGUGACUUUUUUUUUUGUAUCUGUUGAUUUCUAAUUUACUAUAAUUAAGAACAAGAUUAGUGAAUUUAUAAUUUGCUGCUUAGCUUAACACGAUCCUUGAAUAAAAUUUGAGUCUUGGUUAAAGUUAGGUCAUAUUUUUAAGAAUCGUAAAAACUAAGGAAAUUUUCUGGGUAUCUCCUACUCAACUUUUGUUGGCAAAUUGGUCUUUGCUAAUCAAUGUUAUUUUUGGGUGCUAACUGUUUUGGUCUUUAUAAAUUUUGGUAGCAUUGAUUUCUUCUACACUUAUGAUAUGACAACGUUGUGUAAUGAUUGUAGGUUUUUGAAAAUUUUGAGCUUCACAAACUGUGGAAAAAGAAACAAGUUUUGCUAAAAUCAAUUUAAAGGCACAAUAACAAAUGUAUAAAAAAAAUCUAUUGGAUGAUGUAAUUUGGUUUGGAUUUGUAAAUUAUGCUUUUCAAUGUGGAUUAAUUGUUUAAGUAAUUUUAGAUUAUGCUGAUUGUCUCUUUUCUCUUCUACUUAUUUUGUGUUUUCCAGCUAUUUUUCUGUAAUUACCUUUUGUUUAUAUUAUAGGACAGGUUUGUAAUUCUUAUUUUGAUAAUUUUUUCUCCUUUCUCUCUU
Malus domestica (apple) is the source of this 3448-nucleotide non-coding RNA. Lineage: Eukaryota; Viridiplantae; Streptophyta; Magnoliopsida; Rosales; Rosaceae. The record is from RefSeq and is a predicted model, not a curated record.